AAGCCGUUAAUCGGUAGUACGCCCGUUACAAGAUUGAAAGAAAAGGUUGUAUGAAGGGGUUCUUAUAGAGGAAUGAGCAGAGCAGAAGAAUGUCAGGGAUUAUGUGGAGGAAUUGUUAGAGACUACACAUGCACGGGGUAGAAUCGCGAGGGUUACGCGGAGGAAUUGUUAGGACUACACGUGCGCGGAGCAGGAUCGUACGCGCGCGUGAAUACGCGAGGUGGUUGUGUAAGUUAACUACUAACGGGUGUUAACCCGUCACACAUAUCUAUCUACCAGAUAUAAAUAGUGGUAAAUCUCCUGUUCU
This 307-nucleotide small RNA is filed under the name Histoplasma capsulatum var. duboisii H88. RNAcentral describes it as "Histoplasma capsulatum H88 hypothetical RNA". The record is from RNAcentral. Lineage: Eukaryota; Fungi; Ascomycota; Eurotiomycetes; Onygenales; Ajellomycetaceae.